GUCGGGGUAGCUCAGUUGGUUAGAGCAUCACACUCAUAAAGUGAAGGUCGUGGGUUCAAUUCCCACCCUCGGCA
RNAcentral lists this transfer RNA (74 nucleotides) under Candidatus Wolfebacteria bacterium. RNAcentral describes it as "tRNA-Met". It matches the Rfam family "tRNA". Rfam says of the family: Transfer RNA (tRNA) molecules are approximately 80 nucleotides in length. Their secondary structure includes four short double-helical elements and three loops (D, anti-codon, and T loops). Lineage: Bacteria; Candidatus Wolfeibacteriota. The record is from RNAcentral.